Molecule: transfer RNA, 63 nt
Filed under: Ectopsocopsis cryptomeriae
Lineage: Eukaryota; Metazoa; Arthropoda; Insecta; Psocodea; Ectopsocidae
Description: tRNA-Ile
Source: RNAcentral
AAUAAAGUGCCUGAAAAAGGGUUACCUUGAUAGGGUAAAUCAUAUACUUUUGUAUCUUUAUUA